AAGUCGUAACAAGGUUUCCGUAGGUGAACCUGCGGAAGGAUCAUUAGCGAGAGCCUGCCGCAGACUCGUGCGAGUCUGUGUGCACGCGCGCCAUCCUUGUGUUGUGUGUGACGUGUUGUGUGCGCAAUGCCACUGUUGCCAAGGUGGCGGUGGCGUCUGCGCAUGCGCAUUUUUUUCACUCCAUUUCAUUGCAUUUAUUCUAAUUACUGCUGCUCGCAUGAGCACAAACAACCGAAAACUGCCAGCAAUGGAUCACUUGGUUCUC
This 265-nucleotide unclassified non-coding RNA is filed under the name fungal sp. RNAcentral's name for it is "partial internal transcribed spacer region". The stretch from base 1 to 46 matches the Rfam family "Eukaryotic small subunit ribosomal RNA", at positions 1786 to 1831 of the family's 1831-position model. Lineage: Eukaryota; Fungi. The record is from RNAcentral.